Molecule: small RNA, 236 nt
Filed under: Arabidopsis thaliana (thale cress)
Lineage: Eukaryota; Viridiplantae; Streptophyta; Magnoliopsida; Brassicales; Brassicaceae
Description: ATSL275630
Source: RNAcentral
UCUGAUAACUUGUUGGAGACUCAUCUUCUUGUUGGAUGUUUAUAGCUGAUAUAUCCCUAUUAUCACUGAUUUUAUCUAUGUUUUAGGUAUAAGAUUUUGAGUCUUUAUGUUAUUUCUCAAGUGUUUUUAGUGUUUUUUCAGGUAUUCUAUGCAAUGGGACAACAAUGGAGAUUAGGAGACAUUUUGGAGCAAAAGCUAAGGAAAAGGAAGCUAAGGACGAUUUUGGAUUCAGAAAU